Sebastes umbrosus (honeycomb rockfish) is the source of this 922-nucleotide long non-coding RNA. RefSeq lists it as uncharacterized. Lineage: Eukaryota; Metazoa; Chordata; Actinopteri; Perciformes; Sebastidae. The record is from RefSeq and is a predicted model, not a curated record. The transcript is spliced from 3 exons.
UCACUGCUGUGGGGGCGGUAUGUCUGGACGAUACGGCCUCCUUUGAUGUCGUACAACAUGCAGGUACUGUCCUCCUGACCUGUGGCCAGCAGGCGUCCGCUGGGAUCCACUGCCACCGAAGCAACGGCACUCCCUGUGUGAGACAGAGUGAUAAUGACUGUGCUGUGUUCCAGAAAUCUUCAUGAAGCAUCAGUGCCUUCUUGUAGGUCAACGAACCGGUAGCAGUGUGGUAUAUAAAGGGUCUGUCCUAAUGAGAGUCAGGAUGCAACUCACCUGAGCCGUGCAAAGUUGUGCCCACCACCCGGACACAGCUUGGCACCCGCAGGUCCCAGAACCGCACUGUCUUGUCCUGGGAGCCAGAGGCGAUCAUCCACCCUCCCCAUGUGUACAGAGUCAGGAUGUGACCUGUUAAAGCAAAAUGGGAAAGAGCUGUGGAUAACGUACCAGUGUGUCCACUCAGGGCGUGAAGACCCUGUCCUCUCUGACAGUCUGUUGUGUAGAUGUUGCAGUCUCCGGCCCCGGCACUGAUCAAGAUGGAUCCUCCACUCUCAGGCCCCUCCAUAAAGGCCAGGUCCCUGAUGGUACCAUCAUGCAUGCUGAACUCCAGGUCUGGGCCUGAACCAGAGGCGUACAUUUGGGGUUGAAAAGAUAACAUUACCUCAAUACCCAGAGAAAGAUGAAUUGCAUUCUCUCAAUUAUUUUUCUUUAAACUGUAUUUUACCUGUGCUGCGUUUUUUUAUUUCACCAAAUCACUUUGACUACAACAGCAGAAAGUUGCUCUUACUUUAGAAACAUGCUCAUAGGUGUGUAAGUGAUCAUUCAAACAUAGCUGGUGAAAAUGGACAUUACUAAUCCCAUACACACUAAAACACAUAAGAUAAUACCUGUGGCGUUGCAGCUGUCUGCAUUGAAAGGCAGGACU